UUCAGAAGGGUCGGUCGUAGCAUUCUGGCUCUGAGCACGAGCGACGUCUGCAAGUAGUAUGCAAGCUGCUACAUGCAAGGCAAGGAUCACCCUCGAAUUCGCCAUUGUUCAACCUCAGAGAGAGAGAGAGAGAGAGAGAGAGAGAGAGAGAGAGAGAGAGAGAGAGAGAGAGAGAGAGAGAGAGAGAGAGAGAGAGCCUCAGAGCUGGAAAGCCACCAUGUCAAGUCUGACCAACCGCACUCCCAGAUAUAUGUAUAUAUAUGCGUAGAUAUAGUUUGAUGAGAAAGCCAAGUGGUGUCUGAGAUAGAGAUCAGAAAUGCUCCCCUUACCUUCACUAAAUUUUCCGUGCCGUACGAAUGUUUGAAAUCAGCCUUCGAAAAUUCUGGUCGAUAACCGUGGAUGAGAAAUUGGCUAAGCUAUAUCUGGGUCAAAUGUCUCUUGCUCGUUUUACACUUCAAAGACACUUCACUGUUAGAAGAGUGGAAUUUUUUUUACCACUAAAGAAAAACGAUUAGUUCUUUUUGCCUGCCGGGCAUAGCAUCUAGUCUAAUUAAGAAGAGAUCGAGUACCCAUUUGAAAACAUCUACGAAAGGUUGUGGAAUUACAUAGUACGUCCUCAGCACAUAUUUUGGGAUCACC
RNAcentral lists this long non-coding RNA (639 nucleotides) under Eucalyptus grandis. Its description in RNAcentral is "long non-coding RNA (EGRA_LNC003934)". The record is from RNAcentral. Lineage: Eukaryota; Viridiplantae; Streptophyta; Magnoliopsida; Myrtales; Myrtaceae.